CAGAGGGCGGUCGAGAGACUCCGCUGACGCCUCAGGACGCAGCGCGGUCGAGCCCCAGGACCCUAAACUCUACGGCCCAGCGGACCCCACCAAGCGAGCUCCCGCAGCAGCGUACGUAAUCUGCCCCAAACGCUGUGGCCCGGACCGCGCACGGCUUCGGGGCGGGACUAUCUGUGACGUCGAGGUGCGCGGCGCAGCGCGCAGCGUCAGCCUUGGCUGGCGGCGACUGUACUUGAUACUCCGUACUCGCCGCGGCGCGGUCUUCUGCAGCAUAGUCAUCCACCGCAAUCUUGGGCGUCGCGUGUUGCCUGACCAUUCCUGAGCCCAGGUGGGAACCUUGGCCGAGGUGAUGGUCUCAAAGUGGAAGAGCUUACUGUUACAGCAACUGUUUGGCAAGAUACCCCGGCCAGGAACAGUUGCUGAACACCCCAGGCCUGCUGAGGUCCCUCAUUGAGUUUCAUGUUCAAGCAAUCUUUGUCCAUGAAACUGGGAGGCGACCUUGUUAGCUGCCAGUUCCUGAUAGCCACCUCUCACCAGUGGCUCCACUCUGUGUCCCUGACCCAGCACAUGGCACAAGAGUACCUGCCAUCCCUCAGUGUUUCUACAGCAGCAAUCCCGAGAUGCCGGAGCUAG
This 633-nucleotide long non-coding RNA is filed under the name Rhinopithecus roxellana (golden snub-nosed monkey). Its description in RNAcentral is "lncRNA (ENSRROG00000046041.1)". The record is from RNAcentral. Lineage: Eukaryota; Metazoa; Chordata; Mammalia; Primates; Cercopithecidae.